CAUGCAAGUCGAACGCUUUGUCUUUAAUUGAUCUGACGAGCUUGCUCUGAUUUGAUUUUAUCUGACAAAGAGUGGCGAACGGGUGAGUAACACGUGGGUAACCUACCUCUUAGCAGGGGAUAACAUUUGGAAACAAGUGCUAAUACCGUAUAAUACCAACAACCGCAUGGUUGUUGGUUGAAAGAUGGUUCUGCUAUCACUAAGAGAUGGACCCGCGGUGCAUUAGCUAGUUGGUAAGGUAACGGCUUACCAAGGCAAUGAUGCAUAGCCGAGUUGAGAGACUGAUCGGCCACAAUGGGACUGAGACACGGCCCAUACUCCUACGGGAGGCAGCAGUAGGGAAUCUUCCACAAUGGGCGCAAGCCUGAUGGAGCAACGCCGCGUGUGUGAUGAAGGGUUUCGGCUCGUAAAACACUGUUAUAAGAGAAGAACGGCACUGAGAGUAACUGUUCAGUGUGUGACGGUAUCUUACCAGAAAGGAACGGCUAAAUACGUGCCAGCAGCCGCGGUAAUACGUAUGUUCCAAGCGUUAUCCGGAUUUAUUGGGCGUAAAGCGAGCGCAGACGGUUAUUUAAGUCUGAAGUGAAAGCCCUCAGCUCAACUGAGGAAUGGCUUUGGAAACUGGAUGACUUGAGUGCAGUAGAGGAAAGUGGAACUCCAUGUGUAGCGGUGAAAUGCGUAGAUAUAUGGAAGAACACCAGUGGCGAAGGCGGCUUUCUG
This 720-nucleotide ribosomal RNA is filed under the name Weissella paramesenteroides. RNAcentral's name for it is "bacterial SSU rRNA". It matches the Rfam family "Bacterial small subunit ribosomal RNA", at positions 54 to 731 of the family's 1533-position model. The record is from RNAcentral. Lineage: Bacteria; Bacillati; Bacillota; Bacilli; Lactobacillales; Lactobacillaceae.